Molecule: ribosomal RNA, 252 nt
Filed under: uncultured bacterium
Lineage: Bacteria
Description: partial 16S ribosomal RNA
Rfam family: Bacterial small subunit ribosomal RNA
Source: RNAcentral
ACGGAGGGGGCGAGCGUUGUUCGGAAUUACUGGGCGUAAAGGGCGCGUAGGCGGCGAGAUCAGUCAGGCGUGAAAGCCCCGGGCUCAACCUGGGAUGUGCGUUUGAUACUGUCUUGCUAGAGACCGGAAGAGGAUGGCGGAAUACCCAGUGUAGAGGUGAAAUUCGUAGAUAUUGGGUGGAACACCAGUGGCGAAGGCGGCCAUCUGGUCCGGAUCUGACGCUGAGGCGCGAAAGCGUGGGGAGCAAACAGG